Molecule: non-coding RNA, 359 nt
Organism: Odocoileus virginianus texanus
Lineage: Eukaryota; Metazoa; Chordata; Mammalia; Artiodactyla; Cervidae
Source: RefSeq, a predicted model, not a curated record
AGGACAUCUGCUUCACUUGUUGAUUUCUUAAGGGGAUCCUGGCUCUCCCAUAGUAACUUGUGGCCCACAUGUAUCUGCCAUCAUUCAGCUGUUCACCAAGCUCUGUGCCAAGAAUGAAGAGAAAUCUAAGAAAGCAGUUAUGGCCUCUGAACUAUCACGGGUGGAAGUGACUUCUGACCACCCCAGCACCUGACAGUAUGUGAGGCAUCGGCAAUAGCAUCUGGUCACACAACUUCUUCCAGAAGGCCCACCCACGGCCAGCUUCCCUUCACACUGGCAGAACGAAAGCAUCAGCAUUCCCAGACCAUGAGGCUCGCCAAGAACUCAAAUGCUUAUUCAAUAGAACAAAUAUGGUUGAA